This is a long non-coding RNA of Helianthus annuus (common sunflower), 1953 nucleotides long. RefSeq lists it as uncharacterized. The record is from RefSeq and is a predicted model, not a curated record. NCBI's taxonomy places the organism in Eukaryota, Viridiplantae, Streptophyta, Magnoliopsida, Asterales, Asteraceae. The transcript is spliced from 2 exons.
GUGGGUUCGGUUUAGUAUAUGGCGAUGAUCGGAUAGACUAAUAUGGUUGCCAGAAAAAAAUUGAUCGGCUAGGGUUCCGACAGAAACAGAUUCUGGACAAGGCUACGGUUCCGACAAAGAUCCGGUUUGUCAAGCGUGCUGGCUCAAACUUUGUGGUGUUUGAGUUGUAAGCUUCCAAAAGAAGCUUUAUAUUCCAGAAGAGAGGGUUUAAACCUGUACGUCUCACCUCACCCACACUUAUGCACAUGAGAGAGAGCCAUCCCUCCGCCUCACACCUCUGUCGGCGCCACCAUUACCGCCACCGCCACCGCUGCCAUAUCUCCGGCAUCAACGAUACUUAGUAAGUGAUGAAGGUUCCGUAGACGAUUAACGAGAGUCACGAUAGAGGGUUUUAAGGGAGAGUAGGUCGAUGGCUUAGGAUGGUUGAAUUGUCACAUCAGACGACAAUCUGAGAACGCAUGUGUGCUUAAAUGACUGAUGGCGGUGGAUAUGGUUCAACAGAUCGGCGUUGCUAGGGUUCCGUCGAGAUUUUAGCAAGAUUCUGGUGACCCGGUUCAGGUAUGUGUGCUUUAUUUUCAGUUAGAUCUGCUUAGUACGAGUCUUGAUUUGGGAUGUUGUUUGUUAAUAGAUUAUGAAUCUAUAUUUUAUUUAGGCUGUUGUUUGUUGCAACUGCAUAUGUUUUUUAUUUAUGUACUUAUUUAUCAAGACAAUGGGGAACUGAUACUUUUUAUACAACAAAUGGUCAUGUGUAAAUGAUGUAGGAUUGUACUUUAAGCGUACUUCUAAUAUUUUGAUAGAAACUUAACGGGCCAGCCCGGUUUAUUGUGUUUGUAUCCAAAACCAUGUUCGAGGCAACGCACAUAUAGAAUUACUACUCUUUGUAUACAAAAGAUAGGAUGGUAUAAGUUUUGGUGUAGAGGAAAGGAGUGACUGGGAUAUCUUAGGUUAUAUAUUUGCAAUUGUUGUUUCAUCAAAUUCAAUGUUUUUUGUAUUGUAGGGAAGGUAUAAUUUUUUUUUUGGUUUUCAUGGUAGGGUUAUGGUUUAGUCCACUGGCGUAGCCAGGAUUUUCUUCCUACGGGUUCAGAAAUUUUCGAGGGAAGAACGAUCGAUUGUCUAUCACUAAAUAUCGACUUUUUCUACGGGUUCGAUGUCAAAAUACAUGUAUAUAUAACACUAUUUUUUUUUUGGUACGGGUUGCAGCCGAACCCAUACAUCUCUAUAUACCUACACCCCUGUUUUAGUCAUGUAUGGUAACAUCUUUGUUGCAGCCUUUUUCUACAAUGGUUGUUGCUACAACUGAAGGUGGAUGUAUCAGGUAUGCUACUUUUAUUUGUUUUUUUUCUAAUACUUGAAUAGCUUUUUAUUUUUGAAAUAGCUUGUAUGCAAGCUCUAUUACAAUUACUAUAUUGAAGUCUACACCGUUUGCUUUUUAUUGCUAGAAGUGGGAAAGUUAGCUUUAGAAAUUAUAGGUGUCAUGUUCCAACUUUUUUAGGUAGGUUGGAAAUCUCAUUUGUUAACUGUACUUUUUGAGAGAUAUCCGAACCAUGUUCCAUUGUAACAACACUUUUGGAACUGGAAGAUGAUUUACUAGUAGCAAGUGAAAUUUAUAAUCAAGCAGCACUAGAACCUCACAUAAACAAGCAGGGUUACGUUUCCCAAUCUGAUGUGCCAUUACGUUGUCGGGUAAUGCCUCAUCCUUGUAUGAAGAACCCUUGCAUUAAGGAUGCUGCAGAAAAUGAUGUGGACCCAUUUGGAGACCACAAAUCAUAAUGUGAAGAUGAAUACCUUUUGACUUGUUUAUUUUGUUGGGUACAUGAUUUAUAUUUUCAAAAGAAGAGCCCACAACUGAAAUAUCACAAAAAGUUAACUAACUUUAACAGAAAACUUACACAUGUGGUUGAUAUGUGUACUUUUACUGAACACGGUUGAGGUGUGGAAGUCUAUUUUUUUUCA